RNAcentral lists this long non-coding RNA (2630 nucleotides) under Heterocephalus glaber (naked mole-rat). RNAcentral's name for it is "lncRNA (ENSHGLG00100036043.1)". The record is from RNAcentral. Lineage: Eukaryota; Metazoa; Chordata; Mammalia; Rodentia; Bathyergidae.
CCUGCUUCAAGCACUGGUAUCUGGUGCAUAUUUUUGCCCUCGAAACCUGCACAACCCCUGGGAUGAUUUGAAUUUUGUAGCAAACACUGAGCACAGUUCCCCACAUUGUCUGAUAGGUUGUGGACCUACUUCAAAUUAACAGAGAAUAAAUACUGUAACAGUCCCUCAAACCCAAUGUUUGCAGCCAAUGUCCCAGUCUCUGAUAUAAGUGUCAGGUAGCUUUGCAGGGCUGUCACUCAUCCUGUGGCUAGCCUGACAAACAGAACAUCACUGUGCCUCUAGGAAUAACUAAACAGCACAGGCUUGGUGGCUCUAUUCCAAAUUUGCCAUCCUUUGUAAAACUAUGUAUGAAGUGUCCCACUUUCUGGGCCUUCUGGUCUACCUGCAAAGCCUCACUUACAAAGUAUGCUGCUAAAUGCUAAUUCUUAUGGCAGAUGGUCAAGGACAUCUUUUAGGAGAAGGGAAGAUACAUUGGUGGCCAGGGAUUGCAUGUCAUUUCUGGCACAGAUGUAUUGCUAGUUGCAAAUCCCUGCUUCAUAUGCAUUAAAAUGCUAUGUGUAGAUUUCAAGGCAGAGUAGUGUUUCUUAAAGUCAGUUCUGUAUAAAAGUAAUAGACAUCAUAUGAAAAUAGGAUUUUUUGAUCAAAUAUAUUUAGCAGAUCAACUUCUCAGACUCUUUAAUAUACAACUGUAUACUGCAAACGCCCAACAAGAGGAUAUUUACAAUAUUAACAAUACACCUUGCCACUGAUCCCUCCUGUGGCUGCUGCCAGGUGAAACAACUUUGAGAAAUGUUGUGGCAAUGUACACCUCUUGUUACAAUAUAUUUUUCUGUUUUUCUGACCAUUGUGAUUUGAGGUUACAGAAAAUACUAGCUUGUCAAAGCUAAGUGACAGAGAAAAACGCAAUUUGAAAUCACUACCAAGGUAGCAACUCAGUAUUUCUCUAAGUUUCUGAUACUAAGAAAUCAAUGGCUGGAUUAUUGUCAGUGUUCAUUCAGAGCUGAGCUUUUCUGGCUUCAUUAUUGUUUGUCCGUAGAUCAAGUUGUUUUAUUUAUACUUUCUUUUUUUGAAACAUAACAGACUCCAUAUUCUAAAAGAUAGUGGUUAUCAUGUAAAGCACCUCAGGGUCUUUUCAGAUGAAAAAAAUAAUUGCCACUUCAUUAUUAAAUCAAUCCAUCCACCCUUUACUUGUACCUACUAUGUUCUGGCCCCUAAAGAACACAAACUUGAAUGGGACAAAGUACCUAUUCCUUUAGUAAUCUUCUGUGCCACCCCUGCCUGGUACCUUCAGCCAUUUAUGUUCUAGAAAAUGUUACAAUAACACAUUUGUAGGUAAAAGGACUCAUCUGGAGAUGAGCAAAUGAACUUCUUAGAAAAGGUGGCAUUUUGAAAGAUCCAAAAUAAAGACCACUGGAAGCAAUCUCAAGACAAGCUAUUCAAUAAAUGUGUGAGGAUCCAGGCUUGGAAAUGAUACCAUAGAGGAUAAAGGAGGCAACUUCCACCAAUAGCUCAGAAGAAGUAACUCUGGUCAUCCUUAGCCUCUUUGUUCACAGUAAAGACUGCAUCUUUUGUAUUUCCAGUUCCCACUGUUGGAAAUUGUCAAACCAGAGUUUCAUUAUGAUCUUAGCCCUUAAACAGCACAGUUCAUCCAAUGAUGACAGGAUUUAUAAACAGAAAUUAGGCCUUGGACCAAGCUUGUAAUAAAUUAUAAGCUUCAUUACAUAGGUGAGGAAAAAUGACCAGCUAUUGAAUGACAGAUUUGCCAUGGAGCAAGAGGAUAGCUCUUUGCAGCCACUUCAGAAAGUGUGCAGUGUGCAUUCUGACUGACUCACAGGGUGACUGUGUUUGGGGAAAGCUGCACAGAAGGAGGAUAAUAAAAGGCAAACGAUAAGGCAGACAAGUAGGGGUGAGCAUUCCUUCCAUCCACUACUCCAUCAAAUCAUUUGGACCUCCAGAGAAAUGUUAGCAUGAUGUGAUGCUUAUAAAUAUGAAAGGAAAUGAUGAAAUUAUUUGUUUAUUCAAGCCUAAUUAAGAUCCAUGUAGAAAAUUGGAGUUUGUACUCUUAUUGAAAUGAACAAGAGGCCUAUUAAUAGUAUUAGGAUGUGACCUCACUGUGGUUAAAAAUAUCUGAGUUGCUUGUAUAUAAAAUAUCAGGUAAGCCAUUUGCAUUAGUGUGGGCAACAAGAAAAAGAAGAAAGAAGAGGAAAUGAGAACACAGCAGUAAUAAUAGACUUGGAUUACCACCAAUGCUUUUGAAAGAGCUCAGAGAACUUCAGAUUCAAUACAAGUGCCUCUGCCAAGGACUCACAGGGCUUAUCCAUGAGCAGCUUGCUACCAUGUCCAGAGGAACAUCUCUAAGAUCUGCCCUUUCCCUUGGUCCUCCAUGCCAAAAUCUGUCCUGUCCUCACCUCUUAAUACUAUAGCCAUCCUUGUGUGGCCAGGAAGCUUCAUUUGGCAUCUCUGUAUACUGCUGCCAUGUUAUAAUCUACCUCACUUGAUUUUGCCUCUCUUAUGCACGCAUUCAUGUUUUUCUCCAUCUGUAACUGAGAACACUACAGAUUAUUAAUAAGAUGACCUUGUUGAGCCUAAACAAAGGAUCUUAGCUGUGUUCUUGUUUCUUUGGAGACCUG